Molecule: ribosomal RNA, 284 nt
Filed under: Salmonella enterica subsp. enterica serovar Enteritidis
Lineage: Bacteria; Pseudomonadati; Pseudomonadota; Gammaproteobacteria; Enterobacterales; Enterobacteriaceae
Description: partial 23S ribosomal RNA
Rfam family: Bacterial large subunit ribosomal RNA
Source: RNAcentral
GGGUUGUGAGGUUAAGCGACUAAGCGUACACGGUGGAUGCCCUGGCAGUCAGAGGCGAUGAAGGGCGUGCUAAUCUGCGAUAAGCGCCGGUAAGGUGAUAUGAACCGUUAUAACCGGCGAUACCCGAAUGGGGAAACCCAGUGUGACUCGUCACACUAUCAUUAACUGAAUCCAUAGGUUAAUGAGGCGAACCGGGGGAACUGAAACAUCUAAGUACCCCGAGGAAAAGAAAUCAACCGAGAUUCCCCCAGUAGCGGCGAGCGAACGGGGAGGAGCCCAGAGCC